GCCGAUGUGGCGGAAUUGGUAGACGCGGUAGACUCAAAAUCUACUUUAGGCAACUAAGUGCUGGUUCGAGUCCGGUCAUCGGCA
Molecule: transfer RNA, 84 nt
Filed under: Parachlamydiaceae bacterium
Lineage: Bacteria; Pseudomonadati; Chlamydiota; Chlamydiia; Parachlamydiales; Parachlamydiaceae
Also listed under: 1 other name
Rfam family: tRNA
About the family: Transfer RNA (tRNA) molecules are approximately 80 nucleotides in length. Their secondary structure includes four short double-helical elements and three loops (D, anti-codon, and T loops).
Source: Rfam by way of RNAcentral